UGGGGAAUAUUGGACAAUGGGCGAAAGCCUGAUCCAGCCAUGCCGCGUGUGUGAAGAAGGUCUUCGGAUUGUAAAGCACUUUAAGUUGGGAGGAAGGGCAGUAAAUUAAUACUUUGCUGUUUUGACGUUACCGACAGAAUAAGCACCGGCUAACUCUGUGCCAGCAGCCGCGGUAAUACAGAGGGUGCAAGCGUUAAUCGGAAUUACUGGGCGUAAAGCGCGCGUAGGUGGUUCGUUAAGUUGGAUGUGAAAGCCCCGGGCUCAACCUGGGAACUGCAUCCAAAACUGGCAAGCUAGAGUACGGUAGAGGGUGGUGGAAUUUCCUGUGUAGCGGUGAAAUGCGUAGAUAUAGGAAGGAACACCAGUGGCGAAGGCGACCACCUGGACUGAUACUGACACUGAGGUGCGAAAGCGUGGGGAGCAAACA
RNAcentral lists this ribosomal RNA (427 nucleotides) under uncultured bacterium. RNAcentral describes it as "partial 16S ribosomal RNA". It matches the Rfam family "Bacterial small subunit ribosomal RNA", at positions 355 to 774 of the family's 1533-position model. The record is from RNAcentral.